GGCCGUGGUGCGCAGGCGCAGUCUGCGCAGGGACUGGCGGGACUGCGCGGAGGCGACUGCAGACGUAUCGGGGGUCCGGAGCCUGUCGCGGCUGCUAAGCGCUCGGCGCCUGGCGCUGGCGCUGGCCAAGGCUUGGCCAACAGUGUUGCAAACAGGAACCCGAGGUGUUCACUUCACUGUUGAAGGAACGAGAGGGCAUCUGCUAAAGUUUCAGAUUCCAUUUCUGCUCAGUAUCCAGUAGUGGAUCAUGAAUUUGAUGCAGUGGUGGUAGGCGCUGGAGGGGCAGGCUUUGCGAGCUGCAUUUGGCCUUUCCGAGGCAGAGUUUGAUACAGCAUGUGUUACCAAGCUGUUUCCUACCAGGUCACACACUGUUGCAGCGCAGGUUGGAAUCAAUGCUGCUCUGGGGAACAUGGAGGAGGACAACUGGAGGUGGCAUUUCUAUGACACCGUGAAGGGCUCCGACUGGCUGGGGGACCAGGAUGCCAUCCACUACGUGACGGAGCAGGCCCCCACUGCCAUGGUCGAGCUAGAAAAUUAUGGCAUGCCGUUUAGCAGAACUGAAGAUGGGAAGAUUUAUCAGCGUGCAUUUGGUGGACAGAGCCUCAAGUUUGGAAAGGGCAGGCAGGCCCAUCGGUGCUGCUGUGUGGCUGAUCGGACCGGCCACUCAAUAUUGCACACCUCAUAUGGGAGGUCUCUGAGAUAUGAUACCAGCUGUUUUGUGGAGUAUUUUGCCUUGGAUCUCCUGAUAGAGAACAGGGAGUGCCGUGGUGUCAUUGCACUGUGCAUAGAGGACGGGUCCAUCCAUCACAUAAGAGCAAAGAACACUGUUGUUGCCACAGGAGUCAAGAAACUUUUCUUUUGAGCUAUUGACAGCUUUUAACAAGUUAUUAUACUCCUAUGAACAAAAUUUGGAGCAUAUUUGUUUCUCUCUGCCUGAUUUCUCCUGAAUUUGGAAACUAUUUGACAUGAGGAUUCUCAACCUGAUAAAAAUGAGCUUUCCUAAUAACUCAAGACCCAUCUGCCUAGGAAUAAACCAUCCCAGCUGUGAGAGACCAGACGAAACCUGAGACCAGAGACUCGUUUUCUUCUAAAAUGCUUUCUCCAAAAGAUUUUUAAACAGAAAAAGGGGGAAAUGUGAAAGGAAAAGAAAACUUGAGGCCCCCAAAAUCACUAAGCUAAAAGGAAAAGUCAAGCUGGGAAUGGCUUAGGGCAAACCUGCCUCCCAUUCUAUGCAAAGUCAUCCCUCCGUGCACUGAGAUAAAUGCUUAUCUAAUUGCCUCCUUUGGAGAGGCUCAUCAGAAACUCAAAAUAAUGCAACCAUUUGACUCUCACCUACCUGUGACCUGGAAGAUCCCUCUCUGCUUGAGUUGUCCUGCUUUUCUGGAUGGAACCAAUGUUCAUCUUACAUAUAUUGAUUGAUGUCUCAUGUCUCCCUAAAAUGUAUAAAACCAAGCUGUGCCCUGACCACCUUGGGCACAUGUCGUCAGGACCUCCUGAGGCUGUGCCACAGGCAUGCAGCCUCAACCUUGGCAAAAUAAACUUUCUAAAUUGACUGAGA
Long non-coding RNA from Homo sapiens (human), 1558 nucleotides. Ensembl annotates it as SDHA pseudogene 4. Its record names the gene SDHAP4. NCBI's taxonomy places the organism in Eukaryota, Metazoa, Chordata, Mammalia, Primates, Hominidae. The record is from Ensembl.